UACAGAGGAGCCAAGCGUUGUCCGGAUUGACUGGGCGUAAAGCGCACGCAGGCGGUCGUGCACGUGGGGUGUGAAAACUGGCGGCUUAACUGCCAGAGGCCACCUCAUACGGCGCGACUCGAGCCCUGCAGAGGUCCAUGGAAUUGCCGGUGUAGUGGUGAAAUGCGUAGAGAUCAGCAGGAACACCCAGGGGGAAACCAGUGGACUGGGCAGGAGCUGACGCUCAGGUGCGAAAGCGUGGGGAGCGAACCGG
This 253-nucleotide ribosomal RNA is filed under the name uncultured bacterium. Its description in RNAcentral is "partial 16S ribosomal RNA". It matches the Rfam family "Bacterial small subunit ribosomal RNA", at positions 524 to 776 of the family's 1533-position model. The record is from RNAcentral.